This is a non-coding RNA of Amborella trichopoda, 4130 nucleotides long. NCBI's taxonomy places the organism in Eukaryota, Viridiplantae, Streptophyta, Magnoliopsida, Amborellales, Amborellaceae. The record is from RefSeq and is a predicted model, not a curated record.
UGGUGUCCCAAAGGGACCCAUCCGUGGUUCAUUUUCCUGUUCACCUUUUGGAUUUUAGGAUGUCUUCCCACCGUCAUAUUCCAUCCUAGGAAUCGAUGACUAGUGGCACUAUCAAUGGUUCCCAUUUCAUUGGCAAUGCCAUUUCCCACGAAAUGCUCGUUCCUGGCGAUGCAUCUCAAUCUAGGACAGGCCCAGGUGGGUCCACUAAGGCUCGAUCAUCCUCGUGCUUCGACCUUGUAGAUUUUGUUUUUCCUAAGGCGGAGGGUUCCUCUAUCUUGAAGAGCCUCUACCAUGCCCUAGGUCACGCUUCUCAUGAGGAGGUAUCCCUCUUUCCUACCAUCACGAAGACAGUGAUAAGGGAUAUGAAGGAGUGGGUUCCCCGGGUAUUGAAUCUUCUGUGAAGGAGAUGGAUGAACUUGUCAUACUUGCCGAGAAAUCAUGGAUUUGGAAUAUUUGACUGAACUGCAUGAGUUGGCUAAGAGGGCAUUGUAUCUCGCUCGUGCGACUUUGGAGCGACCGAGGUCUGACGGCAUUAGAAAUGCCGACAGUGCCAUUUCGAAUGGCGCCCAAACGCAAACUCGGUUGGGGUUUUUAUAAAGCCCCAACUUGUUCACUUGCAUUCAUCUUUGUCCACUUUGAGCCUUAGUAGCCCUCUCUGAGUUUCUUGGUGGGAGUAUUUUCUUUUUGCCCCCUUUCCUCUCUCAUUCGCUAGGAUUUCGAAGCUUGCCGGAAUCCUGACCGGAGUUUGUGAAUCUUGCUCGAAAUCGAAUCUGAAAAUCUGAAAAAGACAAUGAGUUGGAGAACACUUGGUUCUUCGAAGGACAACAUAUCAGGGUCAGUUUACGGGAAAAUAAGGUACAAUGGAAAACUCUUUUUCAUUUGAUGUGAUAUUUCAAUUUCCUCGUUUUUCUUCCUCGUAUCCUAAAAUUUCUUGUAAGUAUGGGGGGUUUGAAGUGUCGUGAUUCUUUUGGUACAGAAACCCCCAAAUUUGAUGGGUGAUUUUGGGAUCUUGAGCUCGCUGAAUUUUUUUUUUUUAUUCAUAAAAAAAAGUCAUGGGGUUGCCCGGAAUGGCAACUCCAAUUAUUCUUUUUGUUGGGGUUGGGAUUUCUGCCCACCCCGAAACUGGUUUGGUCAUUUUUUGGCAAUUUUUGGGUGAUCUCGGGUGGCUCAAGGAACUUCCGGCCAGCUGACCGUUAGUGCUUUUUGGAAUGGCGUUGGUGGCACUUCGAGUGCCGCCAUGGGUUCUGUGCCCUUCUGUGAUAUGUGGGUCCCGUUUGGUGGGGUCUCGACCUAUUUCGAGCAUUUUGGGUUUUUUUAGUCCAUUAGGGUUGAGCCCCUAUUCCUUGCCUUCUCACCAUCAUCAUUAUUUUAUUUUUAUUUUUUUUCUCGUUUGGACCCUAAAACCAAUUUUGUGUUUGGAUUUUGAAUGACCCUUGAAAUGGUAUCGCUCCAUUUCGAGGCACAAUGGAGUGAGCUUUUGACGCUUUCUCUCCUAUCCCAUUUCAUAGAGCAAGGAAGGACUCAUAUGCCCAUCUUGAUGAUUCUUUUCCUUUUUCAUUUUACAUAUGUAUAUUCUUCCUUGUGUUUUUUUUUGUCUGUCCUAUCCUUGAAAUUAUAGGAUGGAUUAACCUGAUGGAUUAUAGUUGGGUUUUUACCAUUGCAUUCCCCUAUCAUGCUAAUAUUUAGAUAUGGGGAUUUUAUCUUGACAUUUUUCUUAUCCCAUUGUACCCCUCUUUCUUCUACUGACCAUUUAUAUGGGGUACACUGGGGGGCGAGGAUUCUUCCUCCUCGGUUGGUCAGGGAGGUCCUGGAUAUCGGCCUAUGGGAGGUAUGUCAGAUCGAUGCCUUCCCGUUGGACAUGGCACUCAUUAAUGCUCUAGUUCACCUAUUUCAACCCGAGACCAGGACUUUCCCCUUUCCUUGUGAGGAAACCGGUAUCACUCUGGAGGCUGUGACUCGGAUCCUUGGGGUUGGGAGUGAUGGGCUACCUCUUCGUUGUGACCCUCCUUUUGAUGACCGUUCUUUUUGGGGAGAGGUCAUAGAGAUGUUGGGAGAUGUUCCUCCCAAGGAGCGAAGGUGGGACGAAAAGUCCUUGCCUUGAGUUGGAUUAUAGAGGCUAUAAGAGGUAUAAAGCUCCUGCGGUUAGAGGUCGAUGAGCACUCAAGGAGUGUACUGAGGGCUUGGGCUACGAAAUUGCCUGUCAGGCCCAAGACACGAGUUAAGAGCGCCCAGCGACUAAUGUAUCUGAUGCUUCUAUUGAGGCUCAAGAGCCCGUGUUGGAACCGCAGGAUGAGGAGAGAGAGGAUUCUUCCUCUUCUUUGGCUUCAUCCUCCGUGAUCGACUCUAAGGAUUGGAUGGCAAACGAAGAAACUGUUACAGCGACCCCUCACGUAGACUCUUCAGGGGACGAUGCUGAGAACAUAAGUAUUGGUCGUAAGCACCCUAGGAGGGCAUGUACCCUCAGGGAGCUCGAGAGAAAGGGGCGUCCCAUUCUUGAUCUGCCAGCCCGUGACUAGGUAGAUGAUUUCAUCGAAGGUGCCAUCCCCUUAGCUGAUGUUUUGGCUAGAGAGACCCCUAGAGCCAGUGGAGUAGGGGCCGCAGCCACUUCUGUGGGGUCGGCCCGUAUCGAGAGAGUUAUUGGGGAGUCCGAGCCCUUGGGAGCUGACUAGGGUACUCCUGCAGAGAUCGAGGGAGAGGCCCAGACUAAGGCUGAGGAGUAUAUUCCUGAGGAUAGGGGAGUCUUCAGCCCCGACUAUGAUCCUCUAGGUGAUGGUGAGCUUGCCGUGGCUGAUAGGCAGACAGUUCGCGGUUUCCUGGUGUAUCUUUUUGGUUCCCUUCUAUUUCCUGACCCUUCGAAAGGUAAUCCCCGUGUUCAGUUUGUGUGGAUCAUUCGAGACCUUGAGUAUCUCCAUCAGGUGGCAUGAGGUCUGUCCACACUAACUUUUCUUCUUUAGGGGAUGCGAGAGGCCGCUCUUGAGCAUGUUCGGGUUUGGGAACGUAUUGUUGUGACUAGGCCCCUUGUUUCGAGGACCGCCGAGCGUUUUCAUCGUAUCCAUCAUUGGGCGCGGGGCAAGCAAGCUUUUGUCCAGGCUUUUGCUGUGGAUCAUUACACCUUGAAUUUCGACGUUAUGGAGGAAAAUGAGAUAUAAGAGCCUUCCCUCAUUCCAUUCUUAUGUCCCAACCCCUUUCGCUUCCUUACUCUCCUUUUUGCAAUCACAUGGGCAUCUGUGUCUGGUGAUGAGCACUGAUAGAUAGUGGAGAAGUCUCAGGAGGUAUUUUUUACGACCUCUCCUUUGAUUUGUAUGAUGUCAUGGAGGCCUACUACUUGUACCGACUCCUUCGGCAUUUCAGAUAUAUCCAGGUGGAGCUACCUGAUGUAAAUGUCUUCACCAUCCUUGAGAUCAGCUUGUGACGAGAUUACCAGCAGAACUCAUCUCCUUUUCUCACCCAAUGGGUUCAGCACCAUGCAUUGCAAGUAGACCCUCCAAAUCACAUUACACUUGAGGAGGUGGAUCAUUUCCGCCAUGCCUAUACAUGGUUUGUGUACGAGGUUGCCUGUCGCUCUCCUUGACAUAAGAAGUUCUCGGUUGAAGCCUAUGCAGUUGAGGAUAUGCGAGCUGAGCGUAAUGAUUUUAGAUCGAGGCUGUGACAGUUUCAGCAGCACGCUCAGUUGCCGAGAGAGCAUGAAGAUGUUGUUCAGAGUCAAUCCCAGAUAGAGCAUGAGAGGGACUCCCUUAGUCAGAGUCUUCGUGAUAUUUCUCAUAUGGGAUCUCCUCUUCCAUGCGUGGGUUCUUCGGGCGUUCCACUUAUUCCACAGACUUCUCAGGGGCUUUCGCCUAGAGAAGCCAUGCAUUUUCGUUCUCGAAUCAUUCUUUACCAGUCUGAGUGCUGGCGCCUUUGAGUUGAGAGGGUAGACGAUCAGGAGGCAUCUUCAUCCCAUCGUCCUUCCUUACUCCCAAAGCCCUGCAUUUUGAUAGACAGUUGUUUCUUGGGUUUUACAUGCCCUUAGUGGUUGAUCCUUUUGGAUUUGUGUUAUUUUUCUGCGAUCACCACAUAUUUUUUAUUAUGUUGUUCACAUGGAUGAUUCUAUCGUCUUUUGCUAAUCACAUGGUAUGCCCAUUGAUUGCAUA